CCUGACUGCUAUCGGAUUGAUACUAAGCCAUGCGAGUCAUUGUAGUAAUACAAGGCAGACGGCUCAGUAACGCGUAGUCAACCUACCCUAUGGACGGGGAUAACCUCGGGAAACUGAGAAUAAUACCCGAUAGAACAUUAUGCCUGGAAUGGUUUAUGUUUCAAAUAAUUUAUUGCCGUAGGAUGGGACUGCGGCCUAUCAGUUUGUUGGUGAGGUAAUGGCCCACCAAGACUAUUACAGGUACGGGCUCUGAGAGGAGUAGCCCGGAGAUGGGUACUGAGACACGGACCCAGGCCCUAUGGGGCGCAGCAGGCGAGAAAACUUUGCAAUGUGCGAAAGCACGACAAGGUUAAUCCGAGUGGUUUCUGCUAAAGGAACCUUUUAUCGGUCCUAGAAACACCGAUGAAUAAGGGGUGGGCAAGUUCUGGUGUCAGCCGCCGCGGUAAAACCAGCACCUCAAGUGGUCAGGAUGAUUAUUGGGCCUAAAGCAUCCGUAGCCGGCUUUGUUAGUUUUCGGUUAAAUCUGUACGCUUAACGUACAGGCUGCCGGGAAUACUGCAGAGCUAGGGAGUGGGAGAGGUAGACGGUACUCGGUAGGAAGGGGUAAAAUCCUUUGAUCUAUUGAUGACCACCUGUGGCGAAGGCGGUCUACCAGAACACGUCCGACGGUGAGGGAUGAAAGCUGGGGGAGCAAACCGGAUUAGAUACCCGGGUAGUCCCAGCUGUAAACUAUGCAAACUCAGUGAUGCAUUGGCUUGUGGCCAAUGCAGUGCUGCAGGGAAGCCGUUAAGUUUGCCGCCUGGGAAGUACGUACGCAAGUAUGAAACUUAAAGGAAUUGGCGGGGGAGCACCACAAGGGGUGAAGCCUGCGGUUC
RNAcentral lists this ribosomal RNA (875 nucleotides) under uncultured marine group I thaumarchaeote. RNAcentral's name for it is "bacterial SSU rRNA". It matches the Rfam family "Archaeal small subunit ribosomal RNA", at positions 21 to 903 of the family's 1478-position model. The record is from RNAcentral. Lineage: Archaea; Thermoproteati; Nitrososphaerota.